Long non-coding RNA from Amphimedon queenslandica, 1357 nucleotides. RefSeq lists it as uncharacterized. The record is from RefSeq and is a predicted model, not a curated record. The transcript has 10 exons. Lineage: Eukaryota; Metazoa; Porifera; Demospongiae; Haplosclerida; Niphatidae.
ACCUUUGUCUUGGUCUUUGUGGUUCCAUCCAUUUUGUUCCAAUCCCGCAUACCCUGAUUAACAAAGAAAUCGGAGCUAGACGCAGACUGUUAACGUUGUUGGGCCGUGAAGACUGUGAUUCUUUUGGUAGUUUAAGUGUACUACUGAUCAGGCAGCCAGACUAGGUGAAACACUGAAAAUCCAGAGGUACAGUUGUAUGAAGCAGCUGAAGUUGGAGAUAUUGAUGCCAUGAAGUCUGUCUUCUCUAAUGGGGCAGGUAUUAACUGGGAGCAUCCAGGUUUGAAUAAUGAGACUCCUUUACAUGCAGCAGUUUACAAAAGCAGGAUUGAUGCUGUCCUGUGGUUACUGAAUGAAGGUGCUUAUACUGAGUCCUGGGAUACAGAGGUACAGUUGUAUGAGGCAGCUGAAGUUGGAGAUAUUGAUGCCAUGAAGUCUGUCUUCUCUAAUGGGGGAAACAUAAACUGGGAGCAUCUACAGUAGGUUUGGAUUUAAAUAUGGUGUGAAUACUGCAUAGCUAAAAACCUCAAAUGAGAGAAAAGACAGAGUUCCAUGAAUAAAAGCCUUUUGAUGGAUGGACUCCUCUCAUAUUCUCAGCUUAUUUAGGAAUUACACAAUCAGUUUAAUUGCUCCUUGAAAAAGGAGCUGAUGUCUCUGCCUCUGAUAAUUAUGGUAAGACGUACUGCUCUUGUUUAUGCUGAAGAAAACGGUCAUUAUGAAGUGGCUACUACACUAAGAGUACACUCAGGUAAUGUAUUAUUGUUUAUGCUGAAGAAAACGGUCAUUAUGAAGUGACUACUAUGCUAAGAGUACACUCAGUACUGUAUUGUUUGUAAAUUUUAUGAAAAACACUUGAGUCAUCAGCUACUGCUUUCUUCCUUACCAUAUGUGAGGUACAGUUGUAUGAAGCAGCUCAAGUUGGAGAUAUUGACGCCAUGAAGUCUGUCUUCUCUAAUGGGGCAGGUAUUAACUGGGAGAAUCCUGAUAGGAUUAACAUGACUCAAUUACAUGAAGCAGCUACUAAGAAUAAGAUUGAUGCUGUCAAACUAUUGCUGGGUUAAGGGGCUCAUAUUGAGCCAAGAGAUGAUGUGACCGAGUUGCAUAUUGAACGAGACACUGGCCUCAUCAAAACAAAGAAAAACAAUAAUUAUUAUUUUACAUGUAUGAUUUCAAAACUAAUUUUUCCUGCAUAUUACCACUGUAGGUAUUUAAAUUAAAUGGCAAGGCCAAUGAUACACACAUUAUUACAACAUGUAAUGUAGUAUAUACAUGCUAGUUGAUAAUAAACCAGUUCCAAUGCAUGUUUUUCUUUGCAUUAAAUUGUAUAUGUGGUAUUCCAAUUAUGUAAGGAUUAAUAGCC